RNAcentral lists this transfer RNA (76 nucleotides) under Pseudomonas syringae pv. actinidifoliorum. RNAcentral's name for it is "tRNA-Lys". It matches the Rfam family "tRNA". From Rfam's summary of the family: Transfer RNA (tRNA) molecules are approximately 80 nucleotides in length. Their secondary structure includes four short double-helical elements and three loops (D, anti-codon, and T loops). Lineage: Bacteria; Pseudomonadati; Pseudomonadota; Gammaproteobacteria; Pseudomonadales; Pseudomonadaceae. The record is from RNAcentral.
GGGUCGUUAGCUCAGUUGGUAGAGCAGUUGGCUUUUAACCAAUUGGUCGUAGGUUCGAAUCACACACGACCCACCA